GGACGAACGCUGGCGGCGUGCUUAACACAUGCAAGUUGAACGGGCAUACAUGGAAGCUUGCUGAAGUGUAUGUUAGUAGCGGACGGGUGAGUAAUGCAUGAGAAGCUGCCAUUGGGAGGGGGACAACAGUUGGAAACGGCUGCUAAUACCCCGUAUGCCGAAAGGUAAAAGGGAGCAAUCCGCCUGAUGAGGUGCUCAUGUCCUAUCAGCUGGUUGGUGGGGUAACGGCCUACCAAGGCGACGACGGGUAGCCGGCCUGAGAGGGUGAACGGCCACACUGGAACUGAGAUACGGUCCAGACUCCUACGGGAGGCAGCAGUGGGGAAUAUUGGGCAAUGGGGGAAACCCUGACCCAGCGACGCCGCGUGAGGGAAGACGGCCUUCGGGUUGUAAACCUCUUUUGUACGGGAAGAAGGAAGUGACGGUACUGUACGAAUAAGUCCCGGCUAACUACGUGCCAGCAGCCGCGGUAAUACGUAGGGGACGAGCGUUGUCCGGAAUUACUGGGCGUAAAGGGCGCGCAGGCUGUGCUGCAAGUCAGCUGUGAAAUGUCUGGGCUUAACCCGGGCAUGCGGUUGAGACUGCAGUGCUGGAGUGCUGUAGAGGCAAGUGGAAUUCCCAGUGUAGCGGUGAAAUGCGUAGAUAUUGGGAAGAACACCGGUGGCGAAGGCGACUUGCUGGGCAGCAACUGACGCUGAGGCGCGAAAGCCAGGGGAGCAAACGGGAUUAGAUACCCCGGUAGUCCUGGCCGUAAACGAUGAAUGCUAGGUGUGGGUGUAGAGAUACAUUCGUGCCGGAGUUAACGCGAUAAGCAUUCCGCCUGGGGAGUACGGUCGCAAGAUUGAAACCCAAAGGAAUUGACGGGGGCCCGCACAAGCGGUGGAGCACGUGGUUUAAUUCGAUGCAAACCGAAGAACCUUACCAGGGUUUGACAUCAUACUGCCCUCUGUAGAAAUACAGACUUCCGCUUCGGCGGACAGUAUGACAGGUGUUGCAUGGUUGUCGUCAGCUCGUGUCGUGAGAUGUUGGGUUAAGUCCCGCAACGAGCGCAACCCCUAUCCAAUGUUGCCAACAGGUAAAGCUGGGGACUCAUUGGAGACUGCCGGAGACGAUCUGGAGGAAGGUGGGGAUGAGGUCAAAUCAUCAUGGCCCUUAAGCCCUGGGCUACACACGCGCUACAAUGGUCGGUACAACGGGCAGCGAAGGAGCGAUCUGGAGCGAAUCCCAAAAAGCCGGCCCCAGUUGGAAUCGCAGGCCGAAACUCGCCUGCGUGAACACGGAAUUGCUAGUAAUCGCGAAUCAGCUACGUCGCGGUGAAUACGUUCCCGGGCCU
Molecule: ribosomal RNA, 1333 nt
Filed under: uncultured bacterium
Lineage: Bacteria
Description: bacterial SSU rRNA
Rfam family: Bacterial small subunit ribosomal RNA
Source: RNAcentral